UGCUUGUCUCAAAGAUUAAGCCAUGCAUGUCUAUGCACACGCCCUUGAAUGGCAAAGCCGCACAUGGCUCAUUACAACAGCCACAGUUUAUUAGAUCGUACUAUCCUACUCGGAUAACUGUGGUAAUUCUAGAGCUAAUACACGCAUUCAAGCUCGGACUGGUGACGGAACGAGCGCAUUUAUUAGAGCAAAACCAAUCGGACCCUCGGGUCCGUUCUUUGGUGAAUCUGAAUAACUUCGCAGAUCGCACGGUCUCGUACCGGCGACGAAUCUUUCAAAUGUCUGCCUUAUCAACUUUCGAUGGUGUUUAUACGCCGACUAGGGUUGUAACGGGUAACGGAGAAUUAGGGUUCGACUCCGGAGAGGGAGCCUGAGAAACGGCUACCACAUCCRAGGAAGGCAGCAGGCA
Molecule: ribosomal RNA, 409 nt
Filed under: Nematoda environmental sample
Lineage: Eukaryota; Metazoa; Nematoda
Description: SSU rRNA
Rfam family: Eukaryotic small subunit ribosomal RNA
Source: RNAcentral